CCCACUUAAAAAGAUGAGAGAGGCCUGUAAUUUUCAUCAUAGGUACACUUCAACUAUGACAGACAAAAUGAGGGAAACAAUCCAGAAAAUCACAUUGUAGGAUUUUUAAUGAAUUUAUUUGCAAAUUAUGGUGGAAAAUAAGUAUUUGGUCAAUAAAAUGUAUCUCAAUACUUUUAUAUACUCUUUGUUAGCAAUGACAGAGGUCAAACGUUUUCUGUAAGUCUUCACAAGGUUUUCACACACUGUUGCUGGUAUUUUGGCCUAUUCCUCCAUGCAGAUUGCCUCUAGAGCAGUGAUGUUUUGGGGAUGUUGCUGGGCAACACGGACUUUUAACUCCCUCCAAAGAUUAUCUAUGGGGUUGAGAUCUGGAGACUGGCUAGGCCAAUCCAGGACCUUGAAAUGCUUCUUACGAAGCCACUCCUUCGUUGCCCGGGCGGUGUGUUUGGGAUCAUUGUCAUGCUGAAAGACCCAGCCACAACUUUUCAUCUUCAAUGCCCUUGCUGAUGGAAGGAGGUUUUCACUCAAAAUCUCACGAUACAUGGCCCCAUUCAUUCUUUCCUUUACACGGAUCAGUCGUCCUGGUCCAUUUGCAGAAAAACAGCCCCAAAGCAUGAUGUUUCCACCCCCAUGCUUCACAGUAGGUAUGGUGUUCUUUGGAUGCAACUCAGCAUUCUUUGUCCUCCAAACACGAUGAGUUGAGUUUUUACCAAAAAGUUAUAUUUUGGUUUCAUCUGACCAUAUGACAUUCUCCCAAUCUUCUUCUGGAUCAUCCAAAUGCUCUCUAGCAAACUUCAGACGGGCCUGGACAUGUACUGGCUUAAGCGGGGGGACACGUCUGGCACUGCAGGAUUUGAGUCCCUGGCGGCGUAUAGUGUGUUACUGAUGGUAGGCUUUGUUACUUUGGUCCCAGCUCUCUGCAGGUCAUUCACUAGGUCCCCCCAUGUGGUUCUGGGAUUUUUGCUCACUGUUCUUGUGAUCAUUUUGACCCCACAGGGUGAGAUCUUGCAUGGAGCCCCAGAUCGAGGGAGAUUAUCAGUGGUCUUGUAUGUCUUCCUUUUCCUAAUAAUUGCUCCCACAGUUGAUUUCUUCAAACCAAGCUGCUUACCUAUUGCAGAUUCAGUCUUCCCAGCCUGUUGCAGGUCUACAAUUUUGUUUCUGGUGUCCUUUGACAGCUCUUUGGUCUUGGCCAUAGUGGAGUUUGGAGUGUGACUGUUUGAGGUUGUGGACAGGUGUCUUUUAUACUGAUAACAAGUUCAAACAGGUGCCAUUAAUACAGGUAACGAGUGGAGGACAGAGAAGCCUCUUAAAGAAGUUACAGGUCUGUGAGAGCCAGAAAUCUUGCUUGUUUGUAGGUGACCAAAUACUUAUUUUCCACCAUAAUUUGCAAAUAAAUUAAUUCAAAAUCCUACAAUGUGAUUUUCUGGAUUUUUUUUCUCAUUUUGUCUGUCGUAGUUGAAGUGUACCUAUGAUGAAAAUUACAGGCCUCUCAUCUUUUUAAGUGGGAUAACUUGCACAAUUGGUGGCUGACUAAAUACUUUUUUGCCCCACUGUAUAAAAAAAAAAAAUAUAUAUAUAUAUAUAUAUAUGUGUGUGUGUGUGU
Oncorhynchus tshawytscha (Chinook salmon) is the source of this 1600-nucleotide long non-coding RNA. NCBI's taxonomy places the organism in Eukaryota, Metazoa, Chordata, Actinopteri, Salmoniformes, Salmonidae. The record is from Ensembl.